Molecule: unclassified non-coding RNA, 394 nt
Filed under: soil metagenome
Description: partial contains 5.8S ribosomal RNA, internal transcribed spacer 2, and large subunit ribosomal RNA
Rfam family: 5.8S ribosomal RNA (bases 1-122)
Source: RNAcentral
GAUGAAGAACGUAGCGAAAUGCGAUACUUGGUGUGAAUUGCAGAAUCCCGUGAACCAUCGAGUCUUUGAACGCAAGUUGCGCCCGAAGCCAUCAGGUUGAGGGCACGUCUGCCUGGGCGUCACAUAUCGUUGCCCAAUGCCUAUUGCAGUGCAAUAGGAAUUUCUAGGGCGAAUGAUGGCUUCCCGUGAGCGUUGUUGCCUCGCGGUUGGUUGAAAAUCGAGUCCUUGGUAGGGUGUGCCAUGGUAGAUGGUGGUCGAGUUAGGACGAUACCGAUCAUGUGCAUGCUCCCCAAAAUAUGGCCUCUAUGACCCACACGCGUCUUUUGACGCUCAUGACGAGACCUCAGGUCAGGCGGGGCUACCCGCUGAAUUUAAGCAUAUCAAUAAGCGGAGG